This 945-nucleotide long non-coding RNA is filed under the name Phasianus colchicus (ring-necked pheasant). RNAcentral describes it as "lncRNA (ENSPCLG00000019137.1)". The record is from RNAcentral. Lineage: Eukaryota; Metazoa; Chordata; Aves; Galliformes; Phasianidae.
GUUUCUGUAAGGCACCAUGAUGUAGAAAGUGAUUAUUAGUUUCUGGUGUGACUCAUUCCAAUAUCCUCCAUGACAAUCUUUCUUGUCUGCUAAAUUAACAGAUGGGUGCUGGAAUCACAAAUAUUCUGCAGCUAGCUUCCAAAGGGAAGUGAUUCUAGCUUAGACAGUUGUGAACAUUGAGAAGAGGCCUUUAGGAUCAUCAGGCCCCAUGAACUGUGGCUUUUUUUUCCCUAUUCUUCUCAUCGGUGCAAUGCAAAAGUUGCAGUGAAAAUCUCUGGCCUGCAGGGAUGCAGACAACAGUCACCUGUGGGCCCAGGGACUGACCAGAGAGGUGCAGACACAGCUUGACUAACGAGCACCAAUUAAAAAUCUGACCUGGUGCAACCUAGCACAGGGAGGAAGGGUGGAAAUUACAGGUGAGGAGCAAAAGGAAAGAAAGCUUUUGAACCCAGGGGCUGUGUUCCAGUGGGCACAAAGGAGUGGUGGAAUGUGGCUGAUGCUUACCUGUCCUCUCCGAGACAGAGUGAUCCUGAGGGUCACACCAGUGCCCUGGCUGCUCAUCUGGUAAGCAGUUUGUAAGGUAGAUGCUCAUCUGCAAGCAGAUGUUCUGACAGUUGGCGUGCUGUCCAUGAACAGAAUGUUAUACACUCUGUAGAAACAUUCACCAGUGAAAAGCUGCAACCAAGGGAAAUUGGAAGGGAUUCAGUCUGGGGCAGUGAGUGUAUUUUACAGGCAAGGAAGCUUCUUGUGGAGGAGGUGGCUCGAAAAGAGGCUGUUUAGCACAGAGAAGAGGGCUUUUAAAGAAAGAACUGAGUGAGGAGGCAUGAAGUCAUAAGAAGAUUCACCAAUAUUUUCUAUUUCCUUAAUUUCAAAAAACAGGGAGAUGCUUGGUGGAACAGGAAGCUGAUGAAUAAAAAGAGAACUGAAAUGGAUUUUCUCUGCUAA